Molecule: long non-coding RNA, 363 nt
Organism: Myotis lucifugus (little brown bat)
Lineage: Eukaryota; Metazoa; Chordata; Mammalia; Chiroptera; Vespertilionidae
Exons: 3
Source: RefSeq, a predicted model, not a curated record
CAGGGACAAAUGCAGGCAUGGCACCGAAUAGACACCUACUGAAUGUUUGCUCAACCUCUCCAAGCCCCAGUGUCCUCCUAGGAGAAAUGGAGAUUAAGCCCAUGUGCAGGCUUCAUCCCGAAAGUUCUCCCAGUUCUUGGACAAGGAUUCCUCCAGAUUGGCCAGAAGAUGGUAGAAUGAGGGCGGUGAGAGCUCAGGAAAACGCCCUGAAUGGGUCAGCAUCUGCUCCUUGACUCUUAUUCCAUCUGCGCGUGCAGCCUGCCUCUUGCUCAGCCCUAGAGCAGUAACUCGGUGAAACAACUGCCCGGCUGCUUUCUUCAAAAUGGGUCUGCUCUGAUCGCCCAACCCAGAAUGUUCCAACGC